Small nuclear RNA from Heterocephalus glaber (naked mole-rat), 106 nucleotides. The record is from Ensembl. NCBI's taxonomy places the organism in Eukaryota, Metazoa, Chordata, Mammalia, Rodentia, Bathyergidae.
GUGCUCACUUUGGCAGCACAGGCACUAAAAUUGGAACAAUUCAGAGAAGAUUAGCGUGGCCCUGCACAAGGGUGACAUGCAAAUUCGUGAAGGGUUCCAUGUUUUU